UGCAUCACUGGUCAGGCUCCUCUAUACACAGUCAGUUAUCUGGAACACUGUCUGUGCGGGUCUUUUCUCUCUUAGUCUGCCCUGUGAACUCCAGCUAUCUUGGCUUCCCUGGGCUCCCAAAUGUGGAUCUGGAAUCAGGAAAACCACCACUCAGCUCUGCCUGCAUUCCCCAACACUGCAUCAUGAUCUAGAAAUGUUCUCCAGGUUGAAGGAGCAAAUCCCUUCCCCUACACCAGGCUGCCCACCAAGUGGGAGGUUGCUGCCAGCCUGUCUCACUGCACCUGCCCCAAGACAUGGACUCAAACAAGAACUAGUGAAGAGACAACCAAAUUAUGUCACAUACUAUUUUUGCUUAUAAAUUCUAUUCCCUC
This 371-nucleotide long non-coding RNA is filed under the name Homo sapiens (human). RNAcentral's name for it is "HSALNT0071298". The record is from RNAcentral. Lineage: Eukaryota; Metazoa; Chordata; Mammalia; Primates; Hominidae.